AGGUGGUGCAUGGUUAUCGUCAGCUCGUGUCGUGAGAUGUUGGGUUAAGUCCCGCACAAGCGCAACCCCUACGUUUAGUUGCUAACGCGUGAAGGCGAGCACUCUAGACGAACUGCCGUUGACAAAACGGAGGAAGGUGGGAUGACGUCAAAUCAUCAUGCCCCUUAUGUUCUGGGCUACACACGUGCUACAAUGGCCGGUACAGACGGACGCAAAGCCGCGAGGUGGAGCAAAUCCUAAAAAGCCGGUCUCAGUUCGGAUUGCAGGCUGCAAUUCGCCUGCAUGAAGUCGGAAUCGCUAGUAAUCGCAGGUCAGCAUACUGCGGUGAAUACGUUCCCGGGCCUU
Molecule: ribosomal RNA, 345 nt
Filed under: uncultured Pelotomaculum sp.
Lineage: Bacteria; Bacillati; Bacillota; Clostridia; Eubacteriales; Desulfotomaculaceae
Description: bacterial SSU rRNA
Rfam family: Bacterial small subunit ribosomal RNA
Source: RNAcentral